ACUUGGGGGUGCCUACGUAGCUUAUUCAUGCUAGUCGUCAAUAAGGAGGCGGCCUCAAACUCCAGCCUGACUGGGUUGAGAACGGGCGAUUAACACCUGGGCAAUCUGCCGGGGACUCUGGGAUAACUUCGAGAAAUCGAUGCUAAUACCGGAUACGACCCUUCCAGGCAUCUGGUGAGGGUGGAAAGAACUUUGGUCAGGGAUGAGCUCGCGGCCUAUCAGCUAGUUGGUGAGGUAAUGGCUCACCAAGGCGACGACGGGUAGCCGGCCUGAGAGGGUGACCGGCCACACUGGGACUGAGACACGGCCCAGACUCCUACGGGAGGCAGCAGUGGGGAAUAUUGCACAAUGGGCGCAAGCCUGAUGCAGCGACGCCGCGUGAGGGACGAAGGCCUUCGGGUUGUAAACCUCUU
This 413-nucleotide ribosomal RNA is filed under the name uncultured Actinomycetes bacterium. Its description in RNAcentral is "bacterial SSU rRNA". It matches the Rfam family "Bacterial small subunit ribosomal RNA", at positions 1 to 435 of the family's 1533-position model. The record is from RNAcentral. Lineage: Bacteria; Bacillati; Actinomycetota; Actinomycetes.